This 484-nucleotide ribosomal RNA is filed under the name uncultured bacterium. Its description in RNAcentral is "partial 16S ribosomal RNA". It matches the Rfam family "Bacterial small subunit ribosomal RNA", at positions 28 to 523 of the family's 1533-position model. The record is from RNAcentral.
GAUGAACGCUGGCGGCGUGCUUAACACAUGCAAGUCGAACGAUGAAGCCGGAGCUUGCUCUGGUGGAUUAGUGGCGAACGGGUGAGUAACACGUGGGUAACCUGCCCUUGACUCUGGGAUAAGCGCUGGAAACGGCGUCUAAUACCGGAUACGAGCUUCCACCGCAUGGUGAGUUGCUGGAAAGAAUUUCGGUCAAGGAUGGACUCGCGGCCUAUCAGCUUGUUGGUGAGGUAACGGCUCACCAAGGCGACGACGGGUAGCCGGCCUGAGAGGGGGACCGGCCACACUGGGACUGAGACAGGGCCCAGACUCCUACGGGAGGCAGCAGUGGGGAAUAUUGCACAAUGGGCGCAAGCCUGAUGCAGCAACGCCGCGUGAGGGACGAAGGCCUUCGGGUCGUAAACCUCUUUUAGCAGGGAAGAAGCGAAAGUGACGGUACCUGCAGAAAAAGCACCGGCUAACUACGUGCCAGCCGCCGCCGUAA